AUUGAACGCUGGCGGCAUGCUUUACACAUGCAAGUCGAACGGCAGCGCGGGCUUCGGCCUGGCGGCGAGUGGCGAACGGGUGAGUAAUACAUCGGAACGUGCCCAGUAGUGGGGGAUAGCUCGGCGAAAGCCGGAUUAAUAUCGCAUACGACCUGAGGGUGAAAGCGGGGGAUCUUCGGACCUCGCGCUAUUGGAGCGGCCGAUGGCAGAUUAGCUAGUUGGUGGGGUAAAGGCCUACCAAGGCGACGAUCUGUAGCUGGUCUGAGAGGACGACCAGCCACACUGGGACUGAGACACGGCCCAGACUCCUACGGGAGGCAGCAGUGGGGAAUUUUGGACAAAGGGCGAAAGCCUGAUCCAGCAAUGCCGCGUGUGUGAUGAAGGCCUUCGGGUUGUAAAGCACUUUUGGCGGGAACGAAAAGGACUGUGCCAAUACCACGGUUCGAUGACGGUACCCGCAGAAUAAGCACCGGCUAACUACGUG
Molecule: ribosomal RNA, 484 nt
Filed under: uncultured bacterium
Lineage: Bacteria
Description: partial 16S ribosomal RNA
Rfam family: Bacterial small subunit ribosomal RNA
Source: RNAcentral